GACGAAGGAUGCAAGCGUUAUCCGGAUUCAUUGGGUUUAAAGGGUGCGUAGGUGGGCCGUUAAGUCAGUUGUGAAAUCCCCGGGCUCAACCCGGGAAAUGCUUCUGAUACUGGCGGACUUGAGGCCAGUAGGGGUCACUAGAACUGACGGUGGAGCGGUGAAAUGCGUAGAUAUCGUCAGGAAUGCCGGUGGUGAAGACGGGUGACUGGGCUGGUUCUGACACUGAGGCACGAAAGCGUGGGGAGCGAACGGG
Molecule: ribosomal RNA, 253 nt
Filed under: uncultured bacterium
Lineage: Bacteria
Description: partial 16S ribosomal RNA
Rfam family: Bacterial small subunit ribosomal RNA
Source: RNAcentral